GAGAUGUGGGUAGUCCGCACGAGCGCACCUUGUCCUAGUUACCAGCACGUUAUGGUGGGAACUCUAGGGAGACCGCCGGUGAUAAACCGGAGGAAGGUGGGGACGACGUCAAGUCAUCAUGGCCCUUAUGGGCAGGGCUACACACGUGCUACAAUGUCGAAUACAGAGGGCUGCAAACCUGCAAAGGUAAGCUAAUCCCUUAAAGCUCGUCGUAGUCCGGAUCGGAGUCUGCAACUCGACUCCGUGAAGUCGGAAUCGCUAGUAAUCGCGAAUCAGAAUGUCGCGGUGAAUACGUUCCCGGGUCUUGUACACACCGCCCGUCACACCAUGGAAGUGGAUUGCACCAGAAGUAGAUAGUCUAACCUUAGGGAGGGCGUUUACCACGGUGUGCUUCAUGACUGGGGUAAAGUCGUAACAAGGUAGCCGUAGGGGAACCUGUGGCUGGAUCACCUCCUU
This 456-nucleotide ribosomal RNA is filed under the name uncultured Gammaproteobacteria bacterium. Its description in RNAcentral is "bacterial SSU rRNA". It matches the Rfam family "Bacterial small subunit ribosomal RNA", at positions 1069 to 1532 of the family's 1533-position model. Lineage: Bacteria; Pseudomonadati; Pseudomonadota; Gammaproteobacteria. The record is from RNAcentral.